Molecule: ribosomal RNA, 492 nt
Filed under: uncultured bacterium
Lineage: Bacteria
Description: bacterial SSU rRNA
Rfam family: Bacterial small subunit ribosomal RNA
Source: RNAcentral
AUUGAACGCUGGCGGCAUGCUUUACACAUGCAAGUCGAACGGUAACAGGCCUUCAGGUGCUGACGAGUGGCGAACGGGUGAGUAAUGUAUCGGAACGUGCCCAGUAGUGGGGGGAUAGCCCGGCGAAAGCCGGAUUAAUACCGCAUGAGAACUGAGGUUGAAAGCGGGGGACCUUCGGGCCUCGCGCUACUGGAGCGGCUGAUAUCAGAUUAGGUAGUUGGUGGGGUAAAGGCUCACCAAGCCUGCGAUCUGUAGCUGGUCUGAGAGGACGACCAGCCACACUGGGACUGAGACACGGCCCAGACUCCUACGGGAGGCAGCAGUGGGGAAUUUUGGACAAUGGGCGAAAGCCUGAUCCAGCCAUUCCGCGUGCAGGAUGAAGGCCCUCGGGUUGUAAACUGCUUUUGUACAGAACGAAAAAGCUCUUUCUAAUACAGAGAGUCCAUGACGGUACUGUAAGAAUAAGCACCGGCUAACUACGUGCCAGCAGCC